GACGAACGCUGGCGGCGUGCUUAACACAUGCAAGUCGAACGGAAAGGCCCUGCUUUUGUGGGGUGCUCGAGUGGCGAACGGGUGAGUAACACGUGAGUAACCUGCCCUUGACUUUGGGAUAACUUCAGGAAACUGGGGCUAAUACCGGAUAGGAGCUCCUGCUGCAUGGUGGGGGUUGGAAAGUUUCGGCGGUUGGGGAUGGACUCGCGGCUUAUCAGCUUGUUGGUGGGGUAGUGGCUUACCAAGGCUUUGACGGGUAGGGCCUGAGAGGGUGACCGGCCACAUUGGGACUGAGAUACGGCCCAGACUCCUACGGGAGGCAGCAGUGGGGAAUAUUGCACAAUGGGCGGAAGCCUGAUGCAGCAACGCCGCGUGCGGGAUGACGGCCUUCGGGUUGUAAACCGCUUUCGCCUGUGACGAAGCGUGAGUGACGGUAAUGGGUAAAGAAGCACCGGCUAACUACGUG
Molecule: ribosomal RNA, 466 nt
Filed under: uncultured bacterium
Lineage: Bacteria
Description: partial 16S ribosomal RNA
Rfam family: Bacterial small subunit ribosomal RNA
Source: RNAcentral